GCCAGGAUGGCGUAGUGGUUAGCGCAUCUGCCUAGUAAAUAGGACACCUGGGUUCGAUUCCCGGCUUUGGCA
Molecule: non-coding RNA, 72 nt
Organism: Schistocerca cancellata (South American locust)
Lineage: Eukaryota; Metazoa; Arthropoda; Insecta; Orthoptera; Acrididae
Source: the annotation of a RefSeq genome assembly